Molecule: unclassified non-coding RNA, 2267 nt
Filed under: Hevea brasiliensis (rubber tree)
Lineage: Eukaryota; Viridiplantae; Streptophyta; Magnoliopsida; Malpighiales; Euphorbiaceae
Source: RNAcentral
GGGAGAGUGAAGACUAGCCGAAAAGAUAUAAAACGCUCCGUUUUUUUCUCCUCUCUUGAUGUCUCUUCUCCUUCUCUACACACACUCUCCCUCUCCAAUCGUUCCCUGUAGAAAGACCAACGAACGAGAAUUCCAAAGACGAACGUAGAGCUCCCUCCGGAAAUCUAAACUCCCCUUUUUGAGCGUGCGUAACACUCGCUAAUCUCUCUUAAUUGAAAUUUUAUUUAAAAUUCUGCAACUCCUGGGCCUCUCGAUCCCCAUUUGUUGGUGCCUUCCCAUCAGAGGACACAGCACUGAGAAACACUGCACCUUCAAAACGCGCCGUUUUGCCUCGGAAUUCAACUCCAUUGGAGAGGAAUGCAUUUGGAUUUUUGCUGGCAUGGCUUUCAAAAGUAUAGAAGAGAGCUGAAAGUUUCUCUGGACUAUCCAUCUGGUUAAUUUGUUUGGCACAUUACAAAUGGUUACAUCUCAUUUUCGAUUUUCCAGUUGUUGGUGAUUUGUUACAAUUCGUUACUUUGAUACUUGUUUAUUACUCCAUUUUCUUCUAAUUAGCUGGCUGAACUGAAUUUUCCUUGUGGAGUAUUGGUUUUAGAGUUUUUGUUUGUUGCCUUGCUAUAUGAGCGUUUGCUGUUAUUCUGCAUGAUUGUAUAACUGGUUGACGUAGGAACACAUUGGUUUAAGAUUUUGGACAAUGACAUUUAAGAUCAGUCUUCUGGUGGGCUUGUAAAUCUCAACUCUUGUUGAACUUAUAUGGAGCUGCUUGGAUGGUUGGCUGUCACUCAACUGUCUGUAUGGUACAGUAAUACAACUUAUGUUCCAAAAUACAGUUGAGGGGAAUUAAAAGGAGUAGGAACCUGUAUUCACUCUGUUUUUGUUUGACAUUCAAGUUUUUACCACCUCAGUUUUUUCAGAAGUACAAUUCAGAUGGUUGUUGGUUUAGCUAAUCUUGCCUUUUUAGGUUGAAUCUUCCCACACCAUAGAAUAUGGCUUGACUAUAGGGGCUAUGAAACUAAAACAGAAUUUUCUUCUCCCCAAGUUCUAUGCAGGAAUAGGAUGACUUCUAUGGUCCACCAAAGAGUAGGAUUUUGCUGCAAACUUCAUUUGCUCAGUGUCAAUGGAAAUAAAUUGACAGCACAUGUUGGAAGUUUCCAGAGCUCGUGAACUCUUGCUUGCGCAUGUUGUUGCAGUUGACUAGCAUUGUGUAACUAAUCUAGAUUGGAAUAUGGAACUACCAUUUACUUGUGAUUGAGGCAUUUUGACUUUUAAGAUGUCAGCAUAAGGUAUGAUGGUUUUCUCAAAUGAUGAAUGAUUGUUUGUUAGAGAAUGUAUAGGUUGAACAAACAGGUUAGGAAGGUAUUCUUUUAGCAUGUUUAACCUUGUAAAAUUAGUUCACUCUCUAUCCAGCCUGAUGAUGUCCGCUAUUCUUUUGGUGUCUUUUAUGCAUCCAAAUUUGAGGACAUUCUUUAUUUUAAGGAUAGAUUGGGAUCCCCAUAUAUAUAUACCUUGAUCCUUUGGUUGCAUACUUUAAUGACCUGAAUCACCUGAGGUGAUACUACUCUUUUUUUUUUUUUAAUGUGUAGUUCUGUUUGUUUCAGAAUGGCUUAUGGUUGAUGGUUUUCAUACAUUUAUUUGUUUGUUUAGGUUCUAUUUGAAAUUGAUUUACAUCAAUUACUCUUGUAUUAUUUGCCAGCCUUCUUUGUUACAGGUAAUAUGGCUCUGCAGAAGUACAUUCCUUCGGGUGAUGCCCCUUCUGUUGGCAUGAAGCAUUCAAAUUUUUUUAGUAAGGUGCAUGAGAAUGCUCAACAUGCGGAUCUGGAGACAAAAGUGAAGCCUGAUGUGGAUAUUGACCUCAGAGAAGUUUACUUCUUAAUUAUGCAUUUUCUUUCAGCUGGGCCAUGUCGCAGAACAUGCGUACAAAUUUGGAAUGAACUUCUUGAACAUCAGCUUUUACCUAGAAGAUAUCAUGCUUGGUAUUCAAGGAGUGGGGCACGUAAUGGGGAUGAAAAUGAUGAUGGCUUAUCCUUCCCAUUAAAUUACACUAAGUUGGUUGAGAGGUAUCCUCACAUUGAGAAUGAUCACUUGGUAAAGCUUUUGAAGCAGUUAUUACAUAAUGCAGCCUCCUCACCACAGGGCUUGAUUGGUGCUCCAAAUGCUGCUGAUGUUCCUACGCUUUUGGGAACAGGCUUAUUUUCACUUUUGAGCUAUGAUAGAGAUAAGGGACAAACUCACAUCAAGCAUCCCCCUACCCAUAUGCGAUGGCCUCAUAU